Long non-coding RNA from Cyprinodon variegatus (sheepshead minnow), 843 nucleotides. RefSeq lists it as uncharacterized. The record is from RefSeq and is a predicted model, not a curated record. NCBI's taxonomy places the organism in Eukaryota, Metazoa, Chordata, Actinopteri, Cyprinodontiformes, Cyprinodontidae. The transcript has 3 exons.
AAUGGAAAAAAGCCCUCUGGGGGAAUAUUCAGUAUGCAAGAGUAUCGAGUUGCAUGCAGUCAUUAUAAUGAUGUGUAUGCCUCUUUCUUUCUCUUUUUGUCUUUUUCUUUGGAAUGUAUCUACAACACACACACCUAGCUUAGCCUCACACCCACAGAAACGGUGCGGGAGCAGCUCCGGCGUUAAAGAGCUGGUGAUUGGAUGCAGGUUUAUAGGACAAACUGGACAGAAGAAGAAACUUCAGCUGGUUAGUUCUAUACUUCACCUCCGUCUCUGUGAGGGUUACAGAAGUUGGACCAACUUAAAAAAGGGUGCAGGUUUGCUGUGCUCCCAAAGCUAUAAAGCCUUGGCACCCCCACCUCUCUUUCUCCUGCCCGUGGAAGCUCCCCAAACACAGCCACAAUGGGAGAGGACCAUCUUAACGAGAGACCUGGAACCAGAAAACUCUGACAAGGGAAGAGAAAGAAACCAAGAAAAUAAAUGAAUUACCAGGAGAAAACAAGAGUCUACGUUGUGGUAGUUUUUACCAGGUGGAGAUGAUUCAUGUGGGAACAAGGCUUCCAAAGGGACACUGAGGUUGCAGACUUUUGGCUGGACAGGUAAGUCAGUUCUACAUAACUGUGAAUUUUAUUUUGAUUUCCAAUUUAAUGACAUCAUCUGCACCAUGGUGAACCCCACCCUGGACCUGCUGCAGUUUGUGUAUCGACCCAACAUCGGUGUAGAGGACGCCAUCAUCUACCCCCUGCAGCGGGAGCUCACCAACCUGGAGACUGCUGGGAGCACUGUGAGAGUCAUGUUGCUGAGGGGGAAGCUGGGGGACGAUGGAGUGGACAAACAUUUGGC